GAAGCAGAGAAUGUGUGUAUCGGCUUAGUGCGACCUUAUGCGCUUUGUACGAAAGAAUUCUUUGCAAAAUCGAUUUGGGGCAGAUGGGCAGUUGUGAUUCAUUGUCAAUUGAAUAGCUCAACAAUCAUCUUCCCCACAUUU
RNAcentral lists this small nucleolar RNA (141 nucleotides) under Capsella rubella. RNAcentral describes it as "small nucleolar RNA snoR135". It matches the Rfam family "small nucleolar RNA snoR135". The record is from Rfam by way of RNAcentral. Lineage: Eukaryota; Viridiplantae; Streptophyta; Magnoliopsida; Brassicales; Brassicaceae.